This 467-nucleotide ribosomal RNA is filed under the name uncultured bacterium. Its description in RNAcentral is "partial 16S ribosomal RNA". It matches the Rfam family "Bacterial small subunit ribosomal RNA", at positions 28 to 507 of the family's 1533-position model. The record is from RNAcentral.
GAUGAACGCUGGCGGCGUGCUUAACACAUGCAAGUCGAACGGAAAGGCUCCUGCUUGCAGGGGUACUCGAGUGGCGAACGGGUGAGUAACACGUGGGUGAUCUGCCCUGCACUUCGGGAUAAGCCUGGGAAACUGGGUCUAAUACCGGAUAGGACCACAUUUUGGAUGGUGUGGUGGAAAGUUUUUCGGUGUGGGAUGAGCUCGCGGCCUAUCAGCUUGUUGGUGGGGUAAUGGCCUACCAAGGCGUCGACGGGUAGCCGGCCUGAGAGGGGGUACGGCCACAUUGCGACUGGGAUACGGCCCAGACUCCUACGGGAGGCAGGAGGGGGGAAUAUUGCACAAUGGGCGCAAGCCUGAUGCAGCGACGCCGCGUGGGGGAUGACGGCCGUAGGGUUGUAAACUCCUUUCGCUAGGGACGAAGCGUUUUUGUGACGGUACCUGGAGAAGAAGCACCGGCUAACUACGUG